This 85-nucleotide transfer RNA is filed under the name Felis catus (domestic cat). It matches the Rfam family "tRNA". From Rfam's summary of the family: Transfer RNA (tRNA) molecules are approximately 80 nucleotides in length. Lineage: Eukaryota; Metazoa; Chordata; Mammalia; Carnivora; Felidae. The record is from Rfam by way of RNAcentral.
GCCUGGGUGGCUCAGUUGGUUGAGCGUCCGACUUCGGCUCAGGUCAUGAUCUCACGGUCUGUGGGUUCGAGCCCCACGUCGGGCU